GCCUAACACAUGCAAGUCGAGCGGGACAUGCGACGGACCUGAAGUUUCGGAUGGAUGGAAAGAUGUAUUGUCUAGCGGCGGACGGGUGAGUAACGCGUGAGCAACCUGUCCCUUACAGGGGGAUAACACAGCGAAAGUUGUACUAAUACCGCAUGAGACCACAGUAUCACAUGGUACAGGGGUCAAAGGAGCAAUCCGGUAAGGGGUGGGCUCGCGUCCGAUUAGAUAGUUGGUGAGGUAACGGCCCACCAAGUCGACGAUCGGUAGCCGACCUGAGAGGGUGAUCGGCCACAUUGGGACUGAGACACGGCCCAAACUCCUACGGGAGGCAGCAGUGGGGAAUAUUGGGCAAUGGGGGGAACCCUGACCCAGCAACGCCGCGUGAGGGAAGAAGGUUUUCGGAUCGUAAACCUCUGUCCUUGGUGAAGAGGAAGAGACGGUAGCCAAGGAGGAAGCCCCGGCUAACUACGUGCCAGCAGCGGC
Molecule: ribosomal RNA, 483 nt
Filed under: uncultured bacterium
Lineage: Bacteria
Description: bacterial SSU rRNA
Rfam family: Bacterial small subunit ribosomal RNA
Source: RNAcentral